GACGAACGCUGGCGGCGUGCUUAACACAUGCAAGUCGAACGAGAAUCUACUGAAAGAGUUUUCGGACGAUGGAAGUAGAGGAAAGUGGCGGACGGGUGAGUAACGCGUGAGGAACCUGCCUUGAAGAGGGGGACAACAGUUGGAAACGACUGCUAAUACCGCAUGAAGCAUAGGGGUCGCAUGAUCUUUAUGCCAAAGAUUUAUCGCUUCAAGAUGGCCUCGCGUCUGAUUAGCUAGUUGGCGGGGUAACGGCCCACCAAGGCGACGAUCAGUAGCCGGACUGAGAGGUUGAACGGCCACAUUGGGACUGAGAUACGGCCCAGACUCCUACGGGAGGCAACAGUGGGGGAAUAUUGGGCAAUGGGCGCAAGCCUGACCCAGCAACGCCGCGUGAAGGAAGAAGGGCUUUCGGGUGUAAAACUUCUUUUAAGAGGGAAGAGCAGAAGACGGUACCUCUAGAAUAAGCCAACGGGCUAAACUACGUGCCAGCAGCC
Molecule: ribosomal RNA, 494 nt
Filed under: uncultured bacterium
Lineage: Bacteria
Description: bacterial SSU rRNA
Rfam family: Bacterial small subunit ribosomal RNA
Source: RNAcentral